This 526-nucleotide ribosomal RNA is filed under the name Ruminiclostridium papyrosolvens DSM 2782. RNAcentral's name for it is "bacterial SSU rRNA". It matches the Rfam family "Bacterial small subunit ribosomal RNA", at positions 28 to 413 of the family's 1533-position model. Lineage: Bacteria; Bacillati; Bacillota; Clostridia; Eubacteriales; Oscillospiraceae. The record is from RNAcentral.
GACGAACGCUGGCGGCGUGCCUAACACAUGCAAGUCGAGCGGAGUUACCUUUAGCACUGAGUAUUCUUAAAUAUAUGAUGCUGGCCGACAGCGUCAUGCAAAAACAACCUUGAUGAAUUGUUCAAUUAGCGUUUUUGCAUCACGCGUUUUAUCAAAGUGUCAACACAUAUACAUAGAAGAGAAUGUUCAGUGCUGAAGGUAACUUAGCGGCGGACGGGUGAGUAACGCGUGGGCAACCUGCCUGUUACAGGGGGAUAACACAGGGAAACUUGUGCUAAUACCGCAUAACACAACGAGAAAGCAUUUUCUUGUUGUCAAAGGAGCAAUCCGGUAACAGAUGGGCCCGCGUCCAAUUAGCUAGUUGGUGAUGUAACGGACCACCAAGGCGACGAUUGGUAGCCGAACUGAGAGGUUGAUCGGCCACAUUGGGACUGAGACACGGCCCAGACUCCUACGGGAGGCAGCAGUGGGGAAUAUUGCACAAUGGGGGAAACCCUGAUGCAGCAACGCCGCGUGAAGGAUGAAG